CACAACUUAAUUCAGCUUCUGUUUUGAAGAGGCUCUCCACAUUCUGUGAUCAGCAUGGAAAUUGCUCUAACUUCUGGAGGAAAUUAUUGAAGUAAGGAACAGAGCAGCUUACAUUAUUUUCCUGUUACUACUACUACAGUUUUAGUGUCAAACCAUCUAACAGAACAACCCUCAAGUGAUGUGCACCUUCAUUACAGCCUGCAGAACAAAUGAUAAAUUGAAGUAGCAACAACCUAAGGUAUUGUUAAGCUGCACUUAGCUACAGAUACUAAGUAGGAGAAAGUAAUUAAUUUCCUUAUCUCACUUAAUUUUUGCUCAGCUUUCUCUCUUGGACAAUUUGACAUGAAGUAUAUAUAGUGGUAACAGAUGAA
Molecule: long non-coding RNA, 371 nt
Filed under: Gallus gallus (chicken)
Lineage: Eukaryota; Metazoa; Chordata; Aves; Galliformes; Phasianidae
Source: RNAcentral